ACAUCCUUUUUGAAUUGUGGUGCCCAGAACUGGACACAGUAUUCCAGGAAGGAGUCACUGAUGGUCCAGACAUGGAAAGACCAGAAGGACAACUCAUCCCUCACCAGCUUUUCUUUGCAAGCUGUAAUUAGGGCACCUCAGAAGCUGCAGUAUUUAGUAUUUCCCAAAAAUUUUCCAACCAGCAUCACUAACAUGAAGAAUCCACAAGAAAGCCAGACGUAUAGGGUUUCCCAAGAAAUCGCCACAAGUUGUGCACAUCAAGCUGCCAAAUUCUGAACUGGCUCUUGUAUUUUUAAAAGCCAUUUGAUCUGCAACUUUUGGAAGGUGAUAAUGUAUUUCUCCCUAUCAUAAAAAGCUUCACCAGCUGGUUUCCUACAGAGAAAGCUGCAGUUAAAGGCACAGAAAUAAACGAGACUGAGGCUCUUGGUUUCUACUGACAAUCUGAGGACCUGACCACAGACACCACCUUCUCUGAACCAAAUUCUUAAAACAAAUCAUUUGGAUAUAUGUUACCAUUCAAUUAAUGGAAUGUAUGCCUAAAUGCAAACAAAGCCAUUUUAUGCCAGAUCAGAUUAUUUGUUUGUAUGUAUUCAAGUUUAACUUACAUGAAAAUAUCUCAAAAUAAAUCUUUACAGAU
Molecule: long non-coding RNA, 637 nt
Organism: Sceloporus undulatus (fence lizard)
Lineage: Eukaryota; Metazoa; Chordata; Lepidosauria; Squamata; Phrynosomatidae
Exons: 4
Source: RefSeq, a predicted model, not a curated record